RNAcentral lists this ribosomal RNA (512 nucleotides) under uncultured bacterium. RNAcentral's name for it is "partial 16S ribosomal RNA". It matches the Rfam family "Bacterial small subunit ribosomal RNA", at positions 28 to 523 of the family's 1533-position model. The record is from RNAcentral.
GACGAACGCUGGCGGCGUGCCUAAUACAUGCAAGUCGAGCGGAACUGGGGGAGCUUGCUCCUUCCAGUUUAGCGGCGGACGGGUGAGUAACACGUGGGCAACCUGCCCUGCAGAUCGGGAUAACUCCGGGAAACCGGUGCUAAUACCGAAUAGUUUGGCGCCUCUCCUGAGGCGCCACGGAAAGACGGUUUCGGCUGUCACUGCAGGAUGGGCCCGCGGCGCAUUAGCUAGUUGGUGGGGUAACGGCCCACCAAGGCGACGAUGCGUAGCCGGCCUGAGAGGGUGACCGGCCACACUGGGACUGGGACACGGCCCAGACUCCUACGGGAGGCAGCAGUAGGGAAUCUUCCGCAAUGGACGCAAGUCUGAUGGAGCAACGCCGCGUGAGUGACGAAGGUUUUCGGAUCGUAAAACUCUGUUGUGAGGGAAGAACACGUACCAACUAACUAUUGGUACCUUGACGGUACCUCACCAGAAAGCCACGGCUAACUACGUGCCAGCCGCCGCCGUAA